RNAcentral lists this long non-coding RNA (1302 nucleotides) under Gallus gallus (chicken). Its description in RNAcentral is "lncRNA (ENSGALG00010027773.1)". The record is from RNAcentral. Lineage: Eukaryota; Metazoa; Chordata; Aves; Galliformes; Phasianidae.
ACAGCAGAGUAUCUCCAGUGGUAUUUUAUUCAUAGUUUUCAUCUCAUACCGUUUUGCUGUUUAAUAUGCUCUGCAUUAACAUCAGUGCAGUGGAUGGGAACGGAACUGAUUUCGUUUGGGACCCACAGGAUUAAUCCUUUUCCAGGGAACACCUCUUAAACAUGAAGCCGAUGUGCUGCCCUGUUCCCAUACCUGUGCUGCUGUUUUGGUACCUUCCGAGCAAUGCUGGGGGUAGAAGCCCUUCCCCUGAGGAGGUGCAUAGAGGGUAAGAGUGUGUAGAGGAGGAGUGAGCUGUAGCUUUGUGUGGCAGGUCCCCAUGACUCCUGGUAAGCCAGAUGUAUGGAGCAGAGGGCUGCAUUCCUCUGCUGCUAGAUACUCCAGCAUCCCCACCCUCCAGCUGUUGCCCAGCCCCAGGAAGUCCAUCCCAGCCUUCCUGAAGCUACACCCUAUCCCAAGAAGCAGAGAAGCCUUAAAUGAGCUGCUUCACUGAUGGGAGUCCCAUAGCCCGAUCAGCCAGCUCUGAGUCGCCCCAUGUUGCGCUUCCAGGGUGAAAUUUGAGGGCUCCCAUUUCUCAUUGCAGCUCUCUCCCUCCCAAUUCAUCUGAGAAGGUGCCCUUGGUUUGCCCUUGCUCCUCAGUAUCUCAGAUCUCACACGUUUCCCUGGCACUGAGAUGCCAGCGAUAAUGUCCUGAGACAUCCUUCAGCCUUGGGAAACUGGUGCAGCCCUCAUCGAGUUACAGUCCCUCCUGUGAUCUGGGUUCUAUUUACUCUGGAAUGUGGCAGAGGGGUUAGGACUUGCUGCCUUUGGCUCAUCUCUCUCUCACACCUGUCUCCUGAGUAGGAUGGGGCACUGGUCUGAACUGCUGGCUUAUCCUAUGUAAAUAUAUAGGAGUCCUAAUCUCUCCAGCAGGGUUUGCAUGUGAGUUGGGUUGAUAGAGAUUAUCAAAUCAGAAAGAACCACCCUCUAACUGUGUCCCAUGGGAGAGCUGGGAACUUGGCCAAAACCAGAAUGCACUUCCAGGGGCCAACCAGCCAAAAUCUGAUCAGCUCACGGGGCUUUGAGCCCACGGGCUAAGCCAGCUCAUUUCAUUGUUUCUCUUGCAGCCAUUAAAAAUGAGAGAGACGUUUUUCUUUAUGUAGGUAGCUCCCUGUUCGUAUGACUGAGGCACGGAGCAGACCCUGGAAUAACACAGCCCCGGAUGCUGUAGAAGACCCACUUUGUUGUUCAAUGGUGCCAUGUGCUGUUUUUGCUCUAGGAGCUCUGUGGCUGAGCAUCUCCUCCGGUGGUAUUGCUGCUCUUUAA